UACGAAGGGGGCUAGCGUUGCUCGGAAUCACUGGGCGUAAAGCGCACGUAGGCGGCUUUCUAAGUCAGGGGUGAAAUCCUGGAGCUCAACUCCAGAACUGCCUUUGAUACUGGAGAGCUUGAGUUCGGGAGAGGUGAGUGGAACUGCGAGUGUAGAGGUGAAAUUCGUAGAUAUUCGCAAGAACACCAGUGGCGAAGGCGGCUCACUGGCCCGGUACUGACGCUGAGGUGCGAAAGCGUGGGGAGCAAACAGG
Molecule: ribosomal RNA, 253 nt
Filed under: uncultured bacterium
Lineage: Bacteria
Description: partial 16S ribosomal RNA
Rfam family: Bacterial small subunit ribosomal RNA
Source: RNAcentral